GCUUAAAGCACAACCUUCACCACGGUAUGUAGUCAGUUUUGCUAAUGCAAAAGACUUUUCAUGCCACAUUGCAGUGGCAUGGAUCUAUGGACAUUCUUAGCAUUGCAAUUGGUCAUUUUCUUUUAUUUAUGGAUGUUUACAUUUCACUUUUACCUUAAUCUUUUCCUCCUUUUCAAUAUUGAGUGCUUAUCUACUUACCAUUGGCAGACUCACUUUCUAGGAAAAGGAUAAAUCAAACAAACUAGGGAAAAGUUGGAAAAUGUCUACUUAUUUGCAGUGUUGGAUGUAUAGACAAAUUAUUUUUGCGCAU
RNAcentral lists this unclassified non-coding RNA (310 nucleotides) under Hevea brasiliensis (rubber tree). The record is from RNAcentral. Lineage: Eukaryota; Viridiplantae; Streptophyta; Magnoliopsida; Malpighiales; Euphorbiaceae.